RNAcentral lists this ribosomal RNA (253 nucleotides) under uncultured bacterium. Its description in RNAcentral is "partial 16S ribosomal RNA". It matches the Rfam family "Bacterial small subunit ribosomal RNA", at positions 524 to 776 of the family's 1533-position model. The record is from RNAcentral.
UACGUAGGGCGCAAGCGUUGUCCGGAAUUAUUGGGCGUAAAGAGCUCGUAGGCGGUUUGUCGCGUCUGUCGUGAAAGCUUGGGGCUUAACCCCAAGUCUGCGGUGGAUACGGGCAGACUAGAGGCAGGUAGGGGAGACUGGAAUUCCUGGUGUAGCGGUGGAAUGCGCAGAUAUCAGGAGGAACACCGGUGGCGAAGGCGGGUCUCUGGGCAGUAACUGACGCUGAGGAGCGAAAGCGUGGGGAGCGAACAGG